CAUUACACACUGGUGUGAAACCCCCACCUCUCAUGGGGGCCUCACAGACCUGCACCAGACGCUUCAUCUUCAAAAACCGUAACACUAGACAGUUCACCUCCAUGCUUCUCUCUGCAACUACCUCUAAAACACGUCCCACUCUUUGCAAAACCCAACAAUUUCUUGACUCCAUCAACGCUCUCUGUGACCAAGGCCAUAACACUUCUGCAAGAAACAGAUCAUCAGGCCAUUAAAAAGAGGUAUCCAGCUUACUGUUGCCUUCUUCAAGCUUGUUCUGAAUCAAUGGCGGCCACCCUAGCCCAAAAGGUCGAAACCCACAUGGCUAAAACCAGUUUUCCCCAUUGCCUCUUCUUAAACAAUAGAGUCAUCAAUAUCUAUUGUAAAUCUGGUUAUAUUAUAGAAGCUCGUAAAGUGUUCGAUGAAAUGUCUGAGAAAAACCUCUUCUCGUAUAAUACAAUGAUUCACGGAUAUUGUUGUUUUGGCCUGUUGGAUGAUGCACGCCAAGUUUUUGUUCAAAUGCAUAAGAAAAAUCAGGUUUCAUGGGCUAUCAUGAUUGGUGGGUAUGUGCGCCAUGAAUAUGCAUUUGAACCUCUUGAAAUGUUUGUUGAUAUGAAUCGAAGUGGACUUAAGCCUCAUACAAUUAUUUUAGUUGCAGUCCUUCGUGCUUCAGUCGUGGCUGGGAGCUUAAACCAUGGGUUCCAGAUUCAUGCUGUAGUGUUAAAGAUUGGUGUUUUUAUGGAAGAAAUAGUGAGGAAUACCUUGUUGGACGUAUACUCAAAGCUUGGAGAAAUGGAAGAAGCUUGGCAUUGCUUCGAAGAGAUGGGGAAGUUGGGUGUUGAUGUCUCUUUUAAUUCUUUGAUUGCAGGUUAUGCAAGGCUUGGAAAGGGGGAAUUAUCUCUGGUUUUAUAUGUUCAGUUUCUUAGAACUGGUCUGAGAAUCUCUCAAUUUACAUUUGCCGGAGUUCUUAGUGCUUGUGCUGGAAUUUCAGGCCUUGUUGAAGGCAAGCAAAUUCAUGCUCUGGUCUUCAAGACUGGUUUCGAGGGCCAUUUUGUGGCCAAUGCAGUUAUGAACAUGUAUGCAAAAUCAGGGGAGCUUGAAAGUUCUUGGAGAGUGUUUGUGGGCAUGCAUCACAGGGAUAACAUUUCAUGGAAUGGCUUGAUCAGUGGGUAUAGUAGAGAGGGCUUAUCAGAGGAAGCUAUGAAUUUGUUCAUAGAGAUGUUGAAACAUGGAGUUGCUCCCACCCACUUCACCUUUUCGAGCAUUUUGAGCUUGUGUGCUAGUUUUGGUAGCUUGUUACUCGGUCUGCAGGUUCACUGCAAAACCAUCCAUUGUGGGCUCGAAUCCGAUGUAUUUGUAUCUAAUGCUAUCAUUGAUAUGUAUGCAAAAUGUGGGUCAUUAGAGUCAGCAAUGUUUGUUUUCAAUGAGAGGUCUAACCUCAACACCAUCUCAUGGACGGCCUUGAUUGCUGGUUAUGCACACAAUGGGUACAAUGAAGAAGCCAUUAAACUCUUCACCCUUAUGCUCAAAUCAGAUUUUAAACCAGACAAUGGCACCUUCGCUAGUGUGCUCAGUUCCUGUGCGGGCCUAACUGCUCUUAAUUAUGGCAAACAGGUGCAAGUCCAUGCAAUAAAACUUGGUUUUGAUUCAAAUAUAUACACCGCAAAUUCUCUAGUUGGUAUGUAUGCUAAAUGUGGCGACAUGAAAGAGGCAUCGAAGCUCUUUAGUGCAAUGCCCAUUCGAAAUUUGGUGACACGGAAUGCCAUUACAGCUGGCCACGCACAUAAUGGAGAGGGUGAGGAAGUGCUUGAACUAUUCAGAACAAUGGUAGAACAGGAUGGCAUUGCCCCUGACCAUGUCACAUAUGUGAAUGUGCUCCAUGCAUGUAGCCAUGCAGGGAUGGUAGAGGAAGGGUAUUGGCACUUCAGGUCCAUGAGUGAAGAUUUUGGAAUUACCCCUUACCCUGACCAUUAUGCAUGCAUGGUUGAUCUACUAGGACGCUGUGGCCGGCUCGAUGAGGCCGAGGAGUUUGUGGAGUCCAUGCCUAUUGAGCCUGAUGGGGUAAUAUGGGGGGCCUUGUUGGGCGCCUGCCGAACCCAUAGGCAUGUUGAGCUAGCUGAACGAGCAGCGGAAAAGCUCUUUGCCAUUGAGCCAAUGAACCCUGUUGGCUAUGAUCUAUUGGCUAAUAUAUAUUCAGCUUGUGGCCUAUGGGAGGGGGUUGCAAGAGUGAGUAAGAUGAUGCACGAGAGGGGAGUGAAAAAGGGGACAGCUUGCUCUUGGGUCGAAGCCCAAAUGGGGGUUCAUGUUUUUGUGUCCAAUGAUCGGGUCCACCCAAGACUAAGAGAGAUUCACGAGCAGCUUGAGGAGUUGGGAGAGGAAAUGAGGAGAUUUGGGCAUGUUCCUGAUAAGAGCUUUGUGUUGCAGCAAUUGGAAGAAGAGCAAAAGGUGCCAGCUUUGAGCUAUCAUAGUGAAAAGUUGCCAGUGGCGUUUGGGCUUAUUAGUAUUGAUGCUCCAGCACCCACUAGGGUUAUGCAGAAUCUGAGGGUCUGUGGGGAUUGUCACAGUGCUAUGAAGCUUAUAUCAUGGAUUGAAGGGAGAGAUAAUCCUCGGGAACUCCACCCGAUUCCACCAUUUCAAUGAUGGAAUAUGUUCUUGUGGGGACUAUUGGUGAAUGUGAAGAAAGUAUGUCCAUCCUCCCAAAUUAUGACUAAAGGGAAAUAACCCAAUGGAAUAUAGGAAAACCACAGUUCAAUAGGGUUAUCCCUCAUCCCUUUGCAAUAGAAUGCUAGACAGUGAUGGAGAGAGUGUAGGACACACCAUUGUGGUUAUGUCCUUUUUGUUGUGCCCAACUCUCUCCAUCACCCUCCAUAUCACUGGAUGGUGGGGAUCCCAAUGCACUAUGGUUGUCCCACAGUCUACAGAGAUUUUAGUGUGCUUCCAUAAACUAGAUAUGUGUGAUUUCUAGUGACAAUUCUUUUCUGAUUGAAAUGCAAGAUUUUUAGGACAUUUAUAGGCCAGAUUCUGAUGUUAAUAGGCCUGCCAAGUGAAAGACUCAAAUU
This is a non-coding RNA of Amborella trichopoda, 3056 nucleotides long. The record is from RefSeq and is a predicted model, not a curated record. Lineage: Eukaryota; Viridiplantae; Streptophyta; Magnoliopsida; Amborellales; Amborellaceae.